GCCGGGCACAGUGGUGCAUGCCUGUAAUCCCAGUGACUCAGGAGGCUGGGAUAGGAGGAUCUUGAGUUCAAAGCCAGCCUCAGCAACUUAGAAAGGUUCUAAGCAACUCAGUGAGACCCUGUCUCUA
Molecule: small RNA, 127 nt
Filed under: Marmota monax (woodchuck)
Lineage: Eukaryota; Metazoa; Chordata; Mammalia; Rodentia; Sciuridae
Source: RNAcentral